CCUUCGAUAGCUCAGUUGGAAGAGCGUGAGACUGUAAUGGUUAACCUGGAACAUCUCAAGGUCACUGGUUCGAUCCCGGUUCGAAGGA
Non-coding RNA from Trametes maxima, 88 nucleotides. The record is from the annotation of a GenBank genome assembly. NCBI's taxonomy places the organism in Eukaryota, Fungi, Basidiomycota, Agaricomycetes, Polyporales, Polyporaceae.